UACUUUUAUAUUGUAUUUUCAAGUGGGAACAUGCACAACUCCAUGCUUUUGCCAUGCCCCCUUCCCCCAAUAAAUAAUGUAAUAAAAAUUUCAGAACAAAGCAAAAUGGAACCUUCUGCCCUGAGUGCAGAUUCAGCAUUUUUGACAUUCCUGUUUCUGAAACCAAAAUGUUGGUGUUGAGCUCUUUUCCCACAGAGGAGCUUAAAUUCCUUCUGGAUUUGACUUCUCCCUUAUAAGCAGUUAGCUCAUAAUCUUAAAAAAAUCCAGUCGAGGCUCUUUUCCAAUUAAAGGGCUACAGGAAGGAGUCCUGCACUCCCGCACACAAUGAGGAGUCAGGAGGUCAAAACCAUUGUUGGUGUGGAGAUGUCACAUGAGGAACUCGCAGUUCCAAGUAUUACAACUCAACUGCUGUUUCGGAUCCGUCUUCUUUCCUCUUUCCCAGCCAGGCAAGUGUCUAACCACUUCUGUCCUCAUGGAGUCAUUCUACUGAUACUGCUACGAGAACUCUACUGUGUGCCAACAUCUGUGUUGUUUCCAGUUGGGCUGUGCCAAAUCUUGAGUAAGCCACUCCCACUUGUUCCCUAAUACCCCACCCAGGAGAGAACACAAUGCCUUUCUUGGUGGACAUUUGUUGAAAAUAUGACUUCAAACUAGCCAUGUGGUCACUUCUUUCCUAGCUUUUGUAUGGACAAUAAACUCCCAUUAGAAAAAAAUUUACUCAGAGUUUCCACUAUUUUCCCAGAUAAAUAGGCUGGGAAGUCAGGCUCCUGUGUUUCAAUACACCAUUCCAGUCCUGUUAAAAAUAGACAUGUUUCUAGAUGCAUUCUCGUGACUGAUCAUGAAGGGAGGUUCAGUAUAUCAAUUUAUUUUCUAAAUUUCCAUCUAACCCUUUCAUUUCCCUGCACCUUUGUGUUUUUAAAGGUUUAUGUGUAUGACUGUAUUUCCUGCAUAUCUGUAUAUGCACUCCAUGCAUGCCAUUGGCCAAGGAGACUAAAAGAGAGGGUUAGACCCCCUAGGACUGGGGUUACAGACAACUGUGGGUUGCCGUGUAGGUGCUGGGACUCAAGCCUGGGUCUCUGCAAGAACAAACACUCUUGACCUCUGAGCAAUUUCUCCGGCUCCUGUUGUGUUUUGAAAGAAGAUCUCAGUAGCCUAGGCUGGUCUUGAACUCCUGACCCUCCUGCUGCCCAUGUGCUAGGAUUACUGGGGUGCUCCACCAAGAGAAAGACAGUUCCUAAAUGGCAACAUUCAAAGCAACACCUGUGUUAUUUAAGGGAUGAUAUUUUAAAAAUUCAAAAUACUUUAAAAACAUUUAUUUGUAUGUGUACUUUUAAUGUGUUAUGGGUAUUUUAUGUACUUGUACCAUGGGCAUUGCCUGGCGCCUUUAGAAGUCAAAAAGGGCAUCGGAUCCUCUGGAACUGUAGCUAGAUGGUUGUGAGCUGCCAUGUGGAUCCUGGGAAUCGAAUCUAAGUCAUCUGCAAGAGAUCUGAUGAUGCCUCUGCCUCCAAGGGCACCCAAACUCAGGUGCUUAUGCCAACCAUUAUGGAAAACUGCAAACAACCCAGAGGCCUAUUGCUAUAUGGACGGAUGGAUCAACAAGUCAGAGUAUAACGGGGAAGGAUUAAGUAUAAAAAGGUAGAGACUUUUAAGAUACGUACUUCAUGGAAUGAAAUACCAACAUUUUGCUAUGAGAAGUUAGACCCAAAGAUUACAGCAGCAGAUUGAGCCCUAGGGAUAUUGGGAUCAGGGUUAAAGAAACUGGGAGAGGGGGAGGAAAGGAAAAAGAACACAGUGUGGAGUUACAUAACUUUAAAAAAUGGAAAAUUACCCUACCAUGUUAGAAAUAAGUUUAGAAUGCAAGAGACUGAGUUCCCGACUCGUCCAAGUGUCACAGCUAAACCUGUUCUCUACAACACUGGGCUGGAGAGAUGGCUCAGCAGUUAAGAGGGUUUGCUGCUUUUGCAGAGAACCCAGGUUCAGUUCCCAGCAUUCACAUCAGGUGGCUUACAACUGCCACUUAACUCCAUCCAGAUCUGACUUCCUGGAACUUUUGGUUUCUGCAAGCGGGCACACUCAGGUGCACACACGUACACAUGAAAUAAAAAGAAAUCUUAUAAGUUAACGGCCCCAGCCAUCCCCAAACAAAACUCGAGUUCUGUGGCUCAGGCUUGGGAGGCAGGGGUAGGGCCAGAAAUGUAAGACCAUACUGUAGGGUGAGUUCGAGGACAUCCUGUGCUGCCUUUAGUCUCUGUCCAAACAAAAAUCAAAUUAAAGUCGCCCAGGGCAGAGGUGGUUAGUGGGUAACGGCGGUCUGGGGGCUUCCCGAAGUGAGGGUGGGAGGUGAAAGUGCGUCAAGAGAAAAUGUGGAUCCAUUUGCAAAACCUCGGUAUCAACUGGAAACAGAAAGUCCUCCAGGGCGACUGUGGGGGUGGCAGCAGGAAGGGACAGCCAGGCCUGUGCCGAGGAAGAACGCGACCCGUGUAUUCCGGUUUUAAGAGACGGCAGGGGCGGGGCAGGGAGAGAAGUACCAAAAAGUUUUGAGUCUUGAUGAUGGCGGCGGAGCGAAUCGCCGGAGAUGCCGGAAUUCCCACACUGGCCUUCCAGGGUCGCCCACGCGAGGCGACCCACACGGCCCCGACAGCCCAAGGCUCGGGCCAUCAGUAGCGCCACAGGCCGCAGCCCACAGGGGCUCGGGCGCGCCGGGAGGCCGGGCUGGAGGCCGGGCGCGUCGCUCUGACGUCACGCGCGCGCUGACGUCGCCGGCAGCCGCAGCCUCUGAAGCGGGGCUGGGACCGGGGGGCGCCGAGUUUGAUUAGUUUAGGGGGGCCGUCCCCCGCCGGCCGCCGCACCCCAGGCAGCGGCGUCUCUGCGUGUCGGCGCGUCCCGGAGGCUUCACCGCCGCGCCUCGGCGGUGCUGCGAGGAAAGUUGGCGUGUAAGGGGCGACGGGCGUGUGAGGGGUGGCGGGCGCGGCCAUGGAGCCCCGCGGCGCCGAGUACUUCUGCGCCCAAGUGCUGCAGAAGGACGUGAGCGGCCGGCUGCAGGCGGGCGAGGAGCUGCUGCUCUGCCUCGGCACGCCCGGAGCCAUCCCGGACCUGGAGGACGAUCCGAGCCGCCUGGCUAAGACCGUGGACGCGCUCACCCGCUGGGUGGGCUCGAGCAACUACCGGGUAUCGUUGUUAGGAUUGGAGAUUUUAAGUGCCUUUGUGGAUAGAUUGUCAACACGAUUCAAAUCUUAUGUAACAAUGGUUACCACAGCUUUAAUAGACAGAAUGGGAGAUGUCAAAGACAAAGUUCGAGAAGAAGCUCAGAACCUGACACUGAAGCUGAUGGAUGAGGUGGCGCCGCCUAUGUACAUCUGGGAGCAGCUAGCUUCUGGCUUCAAGCACAAGAACUUUCGAUCUCGAGAAGGCGUGUGCCUGUGUCUUAUUGAGACCUUGAACAUCUUUGGGACUCAACCACUGGUCAUCAGCAAGUUGGUGCCGCAUUUAUGUGUCUUAUUUGGAGACUCUAACAGUCAGGUGAGAAAUGCUGCACUAUCAGCUGUAGUGGAGAUUUAUAGACACGUAGGAGAGAAGCUGAGGAUUGAUUUGUGUAAAAGAGACAUUCCCCCUGCUAGAUUAGAAAUGGUACUUGCCAAAUUUGAUGAAGUUCAGAAUUCUGGCGGUAUGAUUUUGAGCGUCUGCAAAGAUAAAAGCUUUGAUGAUGAGGAAUCAGUGGAUGGAAAUAGGCCGUCGUCAGCUGCUUCAGCCUUCAAGGUUCCUGCACCUAAAACACCUGGGAAUCCUGUCAGCAGUGCAAGAAAGCCUGGCUCAGCAGGUGGCCCUAAGGUUGGAGGUCCUUCUAAAGAAGGAGGGGCUGGAGCAGUUGAUGAAGAUGACUUUAUAAAAGCUUUUACAGAUGUUCCUUCUGUUCAGAUCUAUUCUAGUCGAGAACUUGAAGAGACGUUAAAUAAGAUCAGGGAAAUUUUGUCAGAUGACAAACAUGACUGGGACCAGCGUGCCAAUGCGCUUAAGAAAAUCAGAUCACUGCUUGUUGCUGGAGCCGCACAGUAUGAUUGCUUUUUCCAGCACCUACGUUUGUUGGAUGGAGCGCUUAAGCUGUCAGCUAAGGACCUCAGAUCCCAGGUGGUCAGGGAAGCUUGCAUCACUGUUGCUCACCUUUCAACAGUCUUGGGAAACAAAUUUGAUCACGGCGCUGAAGCCAUCGUCCCUACGCUUUUUAAUCUUGUCCCCAAUAGUGCCAAAGUCAUGGCGACCUCUGGAUGUGCAGCAAUCAGAUUUAUUAUUCGGCAUACCCAUGUACCUAGACUUAUUCCUUUAAUAACAAGCAACUGCACAUCAAAGUCAGUUCCUGUAAGGAGACGUUCAUUUGAAUUUUUAGAUUUGCUGCUGCAAGAAUGGCAGACUCAUUCACUGGAAAGACAUGCAGCUGUUUUGGUUGAAACGAUUAAGAAGGGCAUUCAUGAUGCUGAUGCUGAGGCCAGAGUGGAGGCAAGGAAGACAUACAUGGGCCUUAGGAACCACUUUCCUGGUGAAGCUGAAACAUUGUACAACUCCCUUGAGCCAUCAUAUCAGAAAAGUCUUCAAACUUACUUAAAGAGUUCUGGAAGUGUAGCUUCUCUUCCGCAGUCAGACAGGUCCUCAUCCAGCUCACAAGAAAGUCUCAAUCGUCCUUUUUCUUCUAAAUGGUCAACAGCAAAUCCUUCAACUGUAGCUGGAAGAGUAUCUGUGGGAGGCAGCAAAGCCAACCCCCUUCCAGGAAGCCUGCAGCGUUCUCGAAGUGACAUUGAUGUGAAUGCGGCAGCUGGUGCCAAGGCUCAUCAUGCUGCUGGGCAGGCGGUGCGAAGUGGGCGCUUAGGUGCAGGUGCCCUGAACCCAGGCUCCUAUGCAUCACUAGAGGAUACUUCUGACAAGAUGGAUGGAACAGCAUCUGAUGAUGGUCGGGUGAGAGCCAAGCUUUCUACACCGCUUGUUGCUGUGGGAAAUGCCAAGACCGACUCUAGAGGGAGAAGCCGGACAAAAAUGGUGUCUCAGUCCCAGCGUUCAUCAUCACCUGACAAAAAUGAAGGAUCACAAUCUGCUAAUACCAUUGGUGCUGGCAGCCGAUCUGGGUCUCCAGGAAGAGUUCUAACCACAACAGCCCUCUCUACUGUGAGCUCUGGUGCUCAACGAGUCCUGGUCAAUUCAGCUUCAGCACAGAAGAGAAGCAAGAUCCCAAGGAGCCAGGGCUGCAGCAGAGAGGCCAGCCCAUCUCGGCUCUCAGUGGCCCGGAGCAGCCGUAUUCCUCGGCCGAGUGUGAGUCAAGGCUGUAGCCGGGAAGCCAGCAGAGAGAGCAGCAGGGACACGAGUCCGGUGCGCUCCUUCCAGCCGCUGGCCUCCAGACACCAUUCCAGAUCCACUGGUGCCCUCUACGCCCCCGAUGUGUGUGGGGCCUCAGGUCCGGGAUAUGGGAUCAGCCAGUCCAGCCGGUUGUCGUCCUCUGUCAGUGCCAUGCGAGUCCUAAACACAGGCUCCGAUGUGGAGGAGGCAGUAGCUGAUGCCCUGCUCUUAGGAGACAUACGGACUAAGAAAAAACCUGCUCGAAGAAGGUAUGAAUCAUAUGGAAUGCACUCAGAUGAUGAUGCCAACAGCGAUGCCUCUAGUGCGUGUUCAGAACGCUCCUAUAGCUCUCGAAAUGGUAGUAUUCCUACCUACAUGAGACAGACAGAAGACGUGGCAGAAGUCCUCAACAGAUGUGCUAGCUCCAAUUGGUCAGAGAGGAAAGAAGGCCUCUUGGGUCUGCAGAACUUGUUAAAAAACCAGAGAACGCUAAGUCGAGUUGAACUGAAAAGAUUAUGUGAAAUUUUCACAAGAAUGUUUGCAGAUCCUCAUGGCAAGAGAGUGUUCAGCAUGUUCUUGGAGACUCUAGUAGAUUUCAUACAAGUCCACAAAGAUGAUCUUCAAGAUUGGUUGUUUGUUCUGCUGACACAGCUGCUGAAAAAAAUGGGUGCUGAUUUGCUUGGCUCUGUUCAGGCAAAAGUUCAGAAAGCCCUUGAUAUUACAAGAGAGUCUUUUCCAAAUGAUCUUCAGUUUAAUAUCCUAAUGAGAUUUACAGUUGACCAGACCCAAACGCCAAGCUUGAAGGUAAAGGUGGCUAUCCUUAAGUACAUAGAAACUCUGGCAAAGCAGAUGGACCCAAGAGAUUUUACAAAUUCCAGUGAAACUCGCCUGGCAGUGUCUCGGGUCAUCACUUGGACGACAGAGCCCAAAAGCUCUGAUGUUCGGAAGGCAGCGCAGUCAGUGCUGAUUUCUUUAUUUGAACUCAAUACCCCAGAGUUUACAAUGUUACUAGGAGCUUUACCAAAAACUUUCCAGGAUGGUGCUACUAAACUUCUUCACAAUCACCUCCGGAACACUGGCAAUGGCACCCAGACUUUGUUGCACUCCCCUGUGCUGACGAUCUUCUUACUCCCUCCCUCAGAGUUCCAUGGGGAGUCCUUUGACGAGACCAACACCUCGGUCACCAGCCAACUGGUCCAGUCCUCUUACUUCUCCUACCAACACGUCUCAGAAUACGUUAUCUCCAAGUGCAUUUGAUUACGAUACAGAGAACAUGAAUUCUGAAGACAUUUAUAGCUCCCUUAGAGGCGUCACUGAGGCAAUCCAGAAUUUCAGCUUCAGAAGCCAAGAAGAUAUGAGUGAGCCAGUGAGGAGGGACCCUAAAAAGGAGGAUGGUGACACAAUAUGUAGUGGUCCUGGGAUGUCAGAUCCAAGAGCAGGAGGUGAUGCUGCUGACGGCAGCCAGCCAGCUCUGGAUAAUAAAGCAUCGUUGCUCCACUCAAUGCCACUCCACUCCUCUCCACGCUCCCGUGACUAUAACCCAUAUAACUACUCAGAUAGCAUCAGUCCUUUCAACAAGUCUGCCCUCAAGGAAGCCAUGUUUGAUGAUGACGCCGACCAAUUUCCUGAUGAUCUUUCCUUAGACCAUUCUGACCUAGUUGCAGAGUUGUUGAAGGAGCUGUCUAAUCAUAAUGAACGUAUAGAAGAAAGAAAAAUUGCCCUGUAUGAACUCAUGAAGCUAACCCAGGAAGAAUCUUUCAGUGUUUGGGAUGAACACUUCAAAACAAUAUUAUUGUUAUUGCUUGAGACCCUUGGGGAUAAAGAGCCUACAAUCCGGGCCUUGGCAUUAAAAGUUUUAAAAGAAAUCUUAAGGCAUCAACCAGCAAGAUUCAAAAACUAUGCAGAACUAACUGUCAUGAAAACACUGGAAGCACAUAAAGAUCCUCACAAAGAGGUGGUGAGAUCUGCUGAGGAAGCUGCCUCCGUAUUGGCUACUUCCAUUAGUCCAGAGCAGUGCAUCAAAGUGCUUUGUCCCAUCAUACAAACCGCUGACUACCCUAUUAAUCUGGCUGCAAUCAAAAUGCAAACAAAAGUGAUAGAGAGAGUAUCCAAGGAGACCCUUAACAUGCUCUUACCAGAGAUCAUGCCGGGUCUAAUACAGGGUUAUGAUAAUUCAGAAAGCAGUGUCCGGAAAGCUUGUGUCUUCUGCCUGGUGGCUGUCCAUGCAGUGAUUGGUGAUGAACUAAAGCCACAUCUCAGUCAACUCACUGGUAGUAAAAUGAAGCUGCUGAACCUUUACAUCAAGCGUGCACAGACGGGCUCUGCAGGCGCGGACCCCACUGCUGAUGUUUCUGGACAGAGUUAGUGCUGCCGACGGCGCCUCCCAGUCUCUGAGAGGACAACUGGCUGCCCUCCUCAAGGAAAGGACACUCAAGUACAGCUUUGGGACUCAGCUGCGGUUUCCCAGGUCUAGCUUUUCGUUUUGUUCUGUUUUGUAUUUUCUGUAACAGAGGGGUGUCCUCAGUCUGCAUGUAACUUUAUGAUAGUUAUUCCAAGUUCAGGAGAAGCAGUAUUAACAUCAGUUGAUCAGUACAAAGUAAUUUUUUAAUCUAAUUCACCAUUUCACAUGUUUGUACUUCUUUGUCUUCCCAUUAACCUUUGCCAGUGUUAUGAUUGUAUACAUUUUUAAAAAUGCUGGUUAAACAGGAAUGCUUAAAGCUUUAAAAGUUUUAACAGUCUAAACUUUGUUUUGCCUUCAUUCAACUGCAGAAGAAUAUUUUUAUUGUUACUUUUGUUCUGUAUCAUGUCCUAUGCUAGAAAUACUGACAAUAAUGUGAGACAAAGCAGGGCUACGUGGCACUCCAGCCAGACUCUGUGGAUGUGCGCUGAUGCUCGUCAUCAGCAGCAACUCCUUUGGGAUGACCUCAAUGAGAAAUGUCAUGGAACCAGCCAGUUCUGUAAGACUGACGAUAGUGUCUGUCGGUUCUUGAUCUUGCCACCUUUAUUUAAAGCCGUGUCCCUUCUUUUACCCCGUAAGAAAGCUGCACCAGAUCACCUGCCUAGGUUUCCAUGAGAAUUAUUACAAUGGGAGGUUUUGUUGCAGAGCCUUUUGGUUUAUCUUUGUUGUGAAUGAUGCUUUUUGUUGUAUUUAUUAAUAUCAAAUUCACUUAUGAAUAGACUUGAUAAUGGAAACAGAUGAGAAAAAUCAAGUGCAUGUGUGUCUUUGACUAUUCUGUUUCUCAUUUGAUAAACUAAUUAUUGACAUGGGAGUCAACCAGCACCUUUUUGUUGAAUGGUGGAACCUGGUUUCCUUUGACCAUGAAAUUGUCUUCUGGAAACAUGGGUCCUGAUGAGAGAGAAGAUGCUGCAAGAGGCUUCUGUCCAUUGGGCUCUCACUCUACCUCUCAGGGCUGACAUUUUAACUGACCCGCUUCCUGGAGUGUCUUGUCUUGGAAAACUACUUCAAAGGAGAUGUUUUGUUACCUUUUAACAUUUUUUUAAAUCACCUCUGCUAAAGUUAUUUUCGUGUGCAGCCAACUUUCAAAUAUUACCAGUUUGGGUGAAAGGCCAAAUUUGGUGAUUUGGAACCAGGAUACUAUUGAUUUCUCAUCUUGACUUUUUUUUUUUUUUUUUUUUUUUUUUAAAUCCUAACAUAAGAUGAAUUUGACUGGAAAGCAAAUGGCUGUUAGGGAAGCAGUUUGCUAUUGUUACAGAGUUACCUAUACUUUGUUCAGCUGGAAAAAUGUAGAAAUGUAUGUAAAGAAAGUAAGCCGAGAAAACUGGAUGGAUGAUUGGUCAUAGGCUUUUUCUUUCCUUUGUUUUUCCGUUUUAGCAGCAAGAAGAGAUAUUACUCCACACCCUCUCCCUACUGUAACAGUUUUGUUUUCUACUGUUAAUGACAUUGUGUAUUUAUAGCUCUAUGCUUACUGUUGUGCAUAUACUGGCAAUAAAACUGUACAUAACAUUACUUGAA
Mus musculus (house mouse) is the source of this 9292-nucleotide RNA transcript. It is a transcript of the gene named CLIP associating protein 2, with no coding region annotated. Lineage: Eukaryota; Metazoa; Chordata; Mammalia; Rodentia; Muridae. The record is from RefSeq and is marked validated. The transcript has 43 exons.